AUUGAACGCUGGCGGCACGCCUUACACAUGCAAGUCGAACGGCAGCACGGGAGCAAUCCUGGUGGCGAGUGGCGAACGGGUGAGUAAAGUAUCGGAACGUGCCCAGUCGUGGGGGAUAACGUAGCGAAAGUUACGCUAAUACCGCAUACGAUCUAUGGAUGAAAGCGGGGGAUCGCAAGACCUCGCGCGAUUGGAGCGGCCGAUAUCAGAUUAGGUAGCUGGUGGGGUAAAGGCUCACCAAGCCGACGAUCUGUAGCUGGUCUGAGAGGACGACCAGCCACACUGGGACUGAGACACGGCCCAGACUCCUACGGGAGGCAGCAGUGGGGAAUUUUGGACAAUGGGCGAAAGCCUGAUCCAGCCAUGCCGCGUGCAGGAUGAAGGCCUUCGGGUUGUAAACUGCUUUUGUACGGAACGAAAAGGUUUGGCCUAAUAAGCUGAGCUCAUGACGGUACCGUAAGAAUAAGCACCGGCUAACUACGUGCCAGCCGCCGCGGUAA
Molecule: ribosomal RNA, 500 nt
Filed under: uncultured bacterium
Lineage: Bacteria
Description: partial 16S ribosomal RNA
Rfam family: Bacterial small subunit ribosomal RNA
Source: RNAcentral